GCCAUUUUUUCUCUCUUUUGGAUUUGAGAGGAACAAAACAUACAAUAUAUUUCUCAGGGGGCCCACAAAUUUCCUUCGAUUAGAAAUACCCUCACAAGUCAUCUUCUUCAGAUGGACAAUCUUCAUAUUCAUGCACCAGCUCACUGAAACAAUACUAAUACACACUCCAGCGAGAGAGAUAUAGACGCACACACGCAGAGAGAAUCGGGAGAGAGCGAAUAAAAAAGGGGCCUGAACAGUGGUCGGCUAGCGUGAAUAGUAAACGCUGAACAGAGUAGGGUGAAGAACAGCUUUUCUCGGUGAGCUUGUCACCGGAAUAGUGCCUCAUUGUAGAGUCCGUCCACUCCUCCCUAAAACCCAAUUGAAACCAGCUUCAAACCCCCUAAAAUCAUGAUGCCAGUGCCCGACUACUCCGUCGCCACCAUUGUUACUGUUUUGGUGAUGGAGUUUUCGCCUGGAAUGCGCCAAAUCGGUCAAAAUCGUCCCAAAAAUAUCAAGAAAACAGUGAGUUCACCUUGGGUUUUUGACAAUUAAGUUAGAGGUCUAUUUGUGGUAUUGGUAAAAAAUGGAACAAAAGAGAUAUAUCGAAGUUGGAGUUAUUCGUUUGGUGAGGCUCGAUCCGAGAUUAUGGACGCGGUCCAAAUGAAAGGAGCAACUUUAAUCUAAAGCAACAUUUGAGGUUCAAUUCUAUCUUCUCUAUUUUUAUUUAGUUUUUAACAUAAUUAUGAAUGAUUUAUGUGUUUGGCAUGUUUGAAUCUUAGUGAUGUGUGGGUUGAUGUUGGAUUUGGAUAUGAAAACUUGAUCGGUGGAUUGUAUAUUGAAUUGGUUUAAUCGUGUUAAAAAAGUUGGGGCGCGAAUUGAAAAUUUGCUAAAUUGAAUUAGGAUUAAUUUUGAUUUAUUGUUAUUUUGAUUCAUUAACGUCGUCGAUCGUGAUUGUUCCAUGAUAGGUCAAGUUAGGUAGGCAAAAGUAGGUUGGGUAGGCAAAGUUUAGGAUCUGUGAUUGUUGAAAUGAUGAAAUAUUUGUGGAGUGGUUUCGAUUUAUGCAUUGGGAUCUAUUGUAUUCAUUUGGCCGGGUAAUGCCCCGAGGGAUUUGUAUUGAUUCACCGGGGAAUGUCCCGACGUAUCAUGUAUUCGGAGGACGUCCGUGAUGAAGGCCCAAAGCAUCGGGUUAGGUAUUGGAUCGUAGUUUAGGAUUAGUGUAGAUUAGCGUAGGUUUAUUUUUCAGUACAUUUUUUUUUUCAUUUCGGGUUGUAAUAAUUGGACUGGACAUUAUUAUUUUGGCUUUUGGAUUGUUGUUUGAUGUUUGUUUAUAUGCUUUGUGUGGUUUAUACAUUUGUGGUGUCUAAUUAGCCGAUACUCUCCACCAAGAGACCGUGGUCGAGCCACGGGACCGAGGGGUGCCUAACACCUUUUCCUUGGUCAACAGAAUUCCUUAGUCGGAAUCUCUGUUCGCGGAUCAAUUUUACAGAGUGAAAAUCAUUUUGAAAAAAGUUUUCCAAAGGUGACUUGGCAUACCUGAUUAUGCCAAGUGGCGACUCUGAGUUUUGAAUAUAAAUAAUCUUUUUCAAAAUAAAUUUUUAUUUUUUGUCACUUUGAUAAUAAAAAUCCUUUCAAACUUAAAACAAAAUCUUUUUUUGUUAAAAAAAGGGUGUGACAAGGAAAAGGAAAAAGAAAAAGAAAUAGAAGAAAAAGAAAAGAAAAGGAAAAAAUAAAAAAGGAAAAAUGAAUAUUAAGGAAUAAAAAUCUGCCACUAAGAUGGUAUGACACGCGUCAUCUGCCUCAUUCAGUGUUCGGUCAUGUGGAUUUUAAAUUGUCAUAGUGAAAAAAUAUUUAAUAAAUCAGUAAUUUUUGUUAAGUUUCAUACUAAGUUGAAUGUAUUGAGCCUAUAUAAUUAGAGAAAAACUUAAUUAAUAAACAAAAGUAAGAGGUAUUUUUGCAAGAACACAAGGAUAAUCAAUAAUGAAGUGUGAAAUAAAGAACAUAAGUGAAUAUAAAGAAACCAUAGCCGGUGGGAAAAAGGGAGAUCUUAUAUCAACAAUUUUGAGGUGGGGUUGGUACUGUGGGGUAGUAGAGAGGGGUAUUCACGGGUUGGUUUAGGCUGAUUAUUGGUCAAAAUCAAAAUCAAAUCAAUAUACUAAGUUUUAAAUUAUUAAAACCAAAUCAUACCAAAUAUAAUAUAUAUUUAUUGAUUUGGUUGUUAUCGAUUUAGGUUCGUUUUGAUUCAAUUGUUUGAUUAUUAAUCAAAUACGAAAUAAAAGAAAUGAUUCAUUCAAAAGAAAAAAAAAAAAAAGACAACAAUUCAUUCAAAAGAACGAAAAAUUCUAGGAUUACCAUAUAAAUCGUUAACAUGACGUAUAUCUAAUACAACAUAUUUAAGUUAUAAAUAAAUUUUGAUGAAAACAUAUAUAAGAUAUUAAAAAUUAUUAUUAAUAAGCAAUUUAUGAUAUAUAAAUAAUUAUAAAAAAUAUAUAUAUAAAUUUUGAGUUCGGUUCGGUUAUUUCGUUGAUUUCUUUUGACAAAAUCAAAACAAGUCAAAUAUUAUUGAUUUUCAAAUAUGUAAAAUCAAACCAAAUAAGAUUCAAUUUUAUUAGCAUAAUUCAAUUUUUUUUUUUAAUUUGAGUCAGUUUUUACACAAACCUUGAACAUCCUUAGAGGUAGAGUGAGAAAAAAAAAAGAGAGAAAAGGGAAAAGAAAAAGAGAAAAGGGAAAAGAAAAAGAAAAAAAGAAAAAAGAAGAAGAAAUUAAAGAACAAGAAAGGAAAAGGAAAAAGAAAAAGAAAAGAAAAUAAAAGAAAAAAUGAAUAUUAAAGAAUAAAAAUCUAACACUGAGAUGGUAUAUUACAUGGAAUUUAUUUCAUCAAAUGUCAAGUCAUGUGGAUUUUAACUUGUUAUGGUAGAAAAUUGUUUAAAAAAUAAAUAUUUUUGUUAAGUUUCAUAAUGAGAGAGAUGUAUAAUAGUCUUAUGAUAUAAACACAAACUUAAUUAAUAAACGAAUGUAAGGAUGUAACAAGAACACAUGGAUAAUCAAUACUGACAUGUGCAAUAGGGGAUAUAGGUGGAUAUGAAGAACCUUAGCUGGUGUGGGAAAGAGCGGAUAUGACACCAAUAAUUUUGAGACAGAGAAAGAGAAAAGAAAAAGAAGAAAAGGAAAAAAGAAAAAGAAAAAGAAGAAAAAUGAAAAAAGAAUACUAACAAAUAAAAAUUUGACACUGAGGUCGUAUGCCGCGUGGCAUCCACAUCACACAAAUGUUAGGUCAUGUGAAUUUUAAAUUGUCAUGAUGGAAAGGUAUUUUUAUUAAGUUUCAUAAUGAGGGAUGUAUUUGAUCCUAUAACAUAACUGGAGAUAAACCUAAUUAAUAAAUGAAGAUGUAUUUUUGACAGUUUUCCUUAAAAAAUUGGUGUUCAUGGUUCCUUUGGAUCGAUUUUAGAUUAAAAUCAAAAAUCAAACUAAUUUAAUCAAUUUUUUAAUUUUUAAAAUCAAACCAAAUAAAGCAAAAAUCAUUGGUUUGGUUAUUUUCUAUGUGGUUCGAUUUUUUGUUUAUAACUAGCUAAUGAUGAAUGGAGAAUUGAAAAAUUACAGAGACAUGAAACAACUAUGUCAAAUACAUUAAUUAGGAUUUAAUAAAAUUUUCUCUACUAUCACAAAAUAAAUAUAUGUGAAUAUUCUUAUUUUUUAGCACUAUUCCAAAGAUUAAAUAUUUUUAAUUUGUAAAAUAGUAGAUGUUACUCUAGUUCACAUGUCUAACAUGCACAAAAACAAUGUACAAUUUAAAUAGAAUGAUCAACUCUUUAAAAAUGGAUGCAUGUCUUAGCAAAAAAAAAAAGAAACAAUCUAAAAACAAAAAAUACACCAGACUACAUAUAGAUAAUUAAACUUAGAGUAUUGGGCUUGAGCAAAAACUUUAAGAAAUGAAUUCUAAAAGUGUUAGUAGUGCAUGUGAAAUAAGUACAUUAAAAUUCAAUCAAUGAUUAAAAGGUAUAAAAUACUUAUAUUAUUUAUAAAAAACUAAUAUCAUUUAUUUAAAUAAUUUUAACAUUUAUAUAAAUAAUUUAUAGAUUUGUUUUUUUUUUUUAGCAAAUCAAAAUCAAAUCAACUAUUAUAGAUUUUUGAAAUUUAAAUCAAAUAUCAGUUUUUUAAUCAAUCGAUUUGAUUUGACAUAUAAUUUUUGUUUGUGUAUGUGGUAAAUAAGAUAAACAGAUGUAACAUUCGAACGAGUGAACACAGAGAUCUGGGAGGAUUGGUUCUUCGAGAAGGCAUCCUUGAUAAAGGAAGAGAAAGCACAUUAAGGUCAAGGGAGGGCUCAAACACCAAUGCAUGGACAAAGAGACAAGGGAGACAAAGUGUUAGACGGAUAAGGCGCGCCGACAAGCACAUAAAGAUCUAAGCGUUGCUGGAAUAUUAGCUGGCAUCACUAACGACAUUACUACGUAGUCUUCUACCAUUAGUUUUAGUACUUUAGGGCUCGAUUGUGCUUUUUAUUGUCUAGUGUCUCACCAUUAUAACCUACUAAUAGUUUACUUCAAACAGCUGUAAGGACAUUCUGAAUUCUAGCAAGACAACAUCGAUAUACUAUUUCUUGAGCAUCAAGCUUGUCUUUAAUUUAAUUACUUUUAAUUUUUUAUCUAGCAUAUUGGUUCAAGGACACCUUCGAAGCUACGAUUGACUUCUUAGAGAAGUCCACAAAUAUGUUAAAUCGAACGCUCGAAUCUAUAAUCUUU
Molecule: long non-coding RNA, 4718 nt
Filed under: Capsicum annuum
Lineage: Eukaryota; Viridiplantae; Streptophyta; Magnoliopsida; Solanales; Solanaceae
Description: long non-coding RNA (CANN_LNC016619)
Source: RNAcentral